Oncorhynchus tshawytscha (Chinook salmon) is the source of this 2430-nucleotide RNA transcript. RefSeq lists it as uncharacterized. Lineage: Eukaryota; Metazoa; Chordata; Actinopteri; Salmoniformes; Salmonidae. The transcript has 8 exons. The record is from RefSeq and is a predicted model, not a curated record.
UGUAAAUAAGAAUUUGUUCUUAACUGACUUGCCUAGUUAAAUAAAGGUUAAAAAAAAAAAGUCAGCACAUAAGGGACCACACUAGGGUUACUGAUCAUUCACACAGAGACAAGAACACAAGUCAAGACCAACUACAACCGAAGGGCUUUGAAUAUAUACACUGCUCAAAAAAAUAAAGGGAACACAACACAAUGUAACUCCAAGUCAAUCACACUUCUGUGAAAUCAAACUGUCCACUGAGGAAGCAACACUGAUUGACAAUAAAUUUCACAUGCUGUUGUGCAAAUGGAAUAGACAACAGGUGGAAAUUAUAGGCAUUUAGCAAGACACCCCCAAUAAAGGAGUGGUUCUGCAGGUGGGGCCCACAGACCAUUUCUCAAUUCCUAUGUUUCCUGGCUGAUGUUUUGGUCACUUUUGAAUGCUGGCGGUGCUUUCACUCUAGUAGUAGCAUGAGUGGUAGCAAUUCUAGUGGUCAUGGAAGUGUGCUACUACCUUUGUUCAAGAAAGUAAGACUGAAAGCAGACCGGUUACCUGAACAGUAGAUGUUCAUGUAGUUUAAGAUGUUUGCCAAACAUGCCAAACAAUGUAUACCUUAAAGACCUACCCCAGUCUCAUUUUCACCUAAUUUACUUGUGACACAGCCUGGAUUUGAACCAGGGACUGUAAUGAUGCCUCUUGCACUGACAUGCAGUGCCUUAGACUUAGAUCUUAGGCUGCGUCACUCAGGAGCCCUGUUUGUAAAUGAUCGGCGCCUCUAGAUUGUUCUGCCUCCUAAACAUAGGCUGUCAGUUUUUUUCACUUUAUCUAAGUGUGUUCACUCCUUCAUGAACAAGUUGAAAAGAUGUCUCCAUCUUAUUUAAUCUUCAUUUGUAUGGCUGCUGUUGCAGUUAAAGAAAGUUGUGCAGAUUCUGUCCCUACUCCCACCAUUGUGUUAGACCCUGGGUUCAUCAAUGUAGCUAUGCCAGUCGUAGUACGCUGUGAGUCAACAAGAGGCACAAAGUGCCACUUCUACAAAGACCACGACCCCAACCCAAUAAGAGAAGUGAAUUCCGGUGUUUGCCAAUUCAUAUUGUUCUGGAAUGAGUUCAAAAAGUGGAACAAGACUGAAGUAGAUCUCAGCUGUGCUAUUCUACAGAAGAGAGAUGGGAAAACGAUAUCUUCAGAACGAAGUGACACUCGAAGACUUCAUGUGAGUGAUCCCAUUGGAAUACCCAGGAUUUUUGUGGAAAAUACAGGAACUUACUUAAGUCUUCGGUGUGAGGCCAAGCAUGCUGGUACCUCAUGCUACUAUUACUUGAACAACACUGAGUCCCCCUUUAAAAGUCAGCCCUACAAAGACAAUGUCUGUGUUGGGAAAGUAUCGGAAAAGGAUCUGCUGAGGAAGAGGAGCAGUGCUGGAGAGAUCUUCAUCACCUGUGCUGUGGAGCUGGUGGUAGAGGGUGGAGAUACUGUGACAUCACAGCAUAGUGAACCGUUCAAGAUUGCCAUAGAUGACUCUCCUGGGCCCACCACUUCCUUAUCAACAUUCAGUACCAAUAAAACCAGUGUAACUAAUGGAGAAGUCAUCGACCCCUUUAGAGUCCUCCUCGGAGUUCCCCCUCUACAUCAGUCUGAGUUUUGGGGCCUUUAGCCUUAUUCUGCUGGUUGUAUCUGUCCUGUGUUUUCUCCGGUACAAGCGAGGUAUAUGCAUUCAAACACUGAUACUUCAAGGCUUAAUUUGUUCCAAUGUCCAUUUUGAGUUAUUUGUGUAUUAUACAUGUGAAAUCGGGGCUGGUUUAAUCUAUUAUCUAUUAUUUAUUUCUGAAGGUGAUCAACAAGACUGGUCUGCCAAUAGAUCCCAAUGGAACCAGAACAAAGAAGUUAUCUAUGCAAAUGCUUAAUUAUUUCAACAAGGCGGUCUGAAUGUGGGGGAUGUGACCAUGCUGCAUUGUACUAGUUCAAGUGUAAGUGGUAACAGUUCACCUGUUGAUGAACUCCCUCCACAUCCUUUCUCUGCUUCCUGAUUUACAUAUCUGCCACUCUCUGCUCUUCAUGUAGUCUGACACCCUCUGUUCCUCUCAGAUGAAUGGUGUAAUAUCUUACUGGGCAAGAAAUAGAUGUGCAUAGGUUUUAAGACAUGAUCUAUUUGAAGUUUCACAUUGUUUGUAUAUAAGGGUAAAUACCCGUGUUCUUUUAUUGCCUUGUCUUUUUUUAACGCUUUUGUUAUUUUAUUACUCUUUUUUUAUCAACUUUGUAUAUUGAUAGUUUUGCUACUCUACAUUUAUUCUGCACUUUUGAGGAAGAGCUGAAAGUAAGCAUUUCACUGUGCCAUUCCACCUUCUGUGCAUGUGACAAAUAAACAUUGAUUUAAUGUGUAGAUUGUGUAGAUUAGUUUUAACAUACUGGCAUACAAUUUUCCUAUUCUGUACAGCUUUUAAUAUGUAACUCUGU